RNAcentral lists this ribosomal RNA (468 nucleotides) under uncultured bacterium. Its description in RNAcentral is "partial 16S ribosomal RNA". It matches the Rfam family "Bacterial small subunit ribosomal RNA", at positions 28 to 507 of the family's 1533-position model. The record is from RNAcentral.
GACGAACGCUGGCGGCGUGCUUAACACAUGCAAGUCGAACGGAAAAGCCCUGCUUUUUCGGGGUGCUCGAGUGGCGAACGGGUGAGAAACACGUGAGUAACCUGCCCUGGACUUUGGGAUAACUUCAGGAAACUGGGGCUAAUACCGGAUAGGAGCUCCUGCUGCAUGGUGGGGGUUGGAAAGUUUCGGCGGAUGGGGAUGGACUCGCGGCUUAUCAACUUGUUGGUGGGGUAGUGGCUUACCAAGGCUUCGACGGGUAGCCGGCAUGAGAGGGUGACCGGCCACAUUGGGACUGAGAUACGGCGCAGACUCCUACGGGAGGCAGCAGUGGGGAAUAUUGCACAGUGGGCGGGAGCGUGAUGCAGCAACGCCGCGUGCGGGAUGACGGCCUUCGGGUUGUAAACCGCUUUCGCUUGUGACGAAGCGUGAGUGACGGUAAUGGGUAAAGAAGCACCGGCUAACUACGUG